This 458-nucleotide long non-coding RNA is filed under the name Homo sapiens (human). RNAcentral describes it as "non-protein coding TRHDE-AS1:3". Lineage: Eukaryota; Metazoa; Chordata; Mammalia; Primates; Hominidae. The record is from RNAcentral.
AGGAGGGGGCAGCAUUCAUCUUUUGGCACCGCGGCGGCGUUCGGUCCUCUGGGUGGAAUGUGCUCGCAGCAGCAGUGACGGCGGCCACAGCACGGGAGGCACCCGAGCCAUACACCCUGCAGCUGGAGAGAAAAGGAUGGCCGAGGUGGGAGAGACUAGAGUGAACCAGCAGGAGGAAGUCCCAGGGCCGCGAAGCUACGACGGAGAUCCGUCCUGGAAAAGCCUUCUCCACCCUGGGCACUUUAAGCGGCGGUGGCGGCAAACGGCAGGAGGUUGCAGACCCGACAGCGAGACUCCCUCAUUCCAGUCUUGCUCUGCCCUCCGGAGAUGACAAGUGAGAAAGAAGUGUCCGGCCGGGCCAUCCCCUUCAGAGAAGCAACCACUUCACAAGAAGAUUCUGAAGUUGGCCAUUUUUGAUCCCAGAACAGUUUCUCAUAGAUUAGAAAUAUUGGAGUCUA